Molecule: long non-coding RNA, 458 nt
Filed under: Musa acuminata (dwarf banana)
Lineage: Eukaryota; Viridiplantae; Streptophyta; Magnoliopsida; Zingiberales; Musaceae
Description: long non-coding RNA (MACU_LNC002906)
Source: RNAcentral
UAUAUGUAUGUUCAGAUAUAUCAACAAAUGAUCCUCUCUACAGUACGUAGUCUUCUCAUCAGUGGCCUGGACCUCUGGGACUGGGGCCAUGCGACAACUUCGCCAUCCACCUCGCCAGCGAGGGUGGCUCUUCCCUUCCCUUCUCGUCCGUGCUCGCGCACGCCAUGUAGCUCCACCCGCCGGUGCAGUCAGGCGCCGGCCUCGCUGCAUCAGCUCUCUUCAUGAUCGACACGACGGUGAUCGAGACGACGACGAAGACGACGAUGAGAGAGAGCGCAGGAGCCGUCUGUGGCCUCAUAUGUCGCUGGCUUCUACGAAGAGAGGAGGAAAGUGAAGGUGGCUUGCACUGCUACGAGUGUCCUGGGGAUAUGUAUAUAUAUAUAUAGGUUGACGACGAUGGUUGUAGCUGAAGAGUACUGCCAAGUGUUUGAUCUGCGACGGCGUUUAGGAGGAGAGCA